RNAcentral lists this ribosomal RNA (305 nucleotides) under uncultured bacterium. RNAcentral's name for it is "bacterial SSU rRNA". It matches the Rfam family "Bacterial small subunit ribosomal RNA", at positions 333 to 653 of the family's 1533-position model. The record is from RNAcentral.
UAUCUCCUACGGGGGGCAGCAGUGGGGAAUAUUGGGCAAUGGGCGCAAGCCUGACCCAGCAACGCCGCGUGAAGGAAGAAGGCUUUCGGGUUGUAAACUUCUUUUGUCAGGGACGAAGCAAGUGACGGUACCUGACGAAUAAGCCACGGCUAACUACGUGCCAGCAGCCGCGGUAAUACGUAGGUGGCAAGCGUUAUCCGGAUUUAUUGGGUUUAAAGGGUGCGCAGGCGGUCUGUUAAGUCAGCGGUCAAAGCCCGGGGCUCAACCCCGGCCCGCCGUUGAAACUGGCAGUCUCGAGUUGGAGG